RNAcentral lists this ribosomal RNA (440 nucleotides) under uncultured Sphingomonas sp. RNAcentral's name for it is "bacterial SSU rRNA". It matches the Rfam family "Bacterial small subunit ribosomal RNA", at positions 338 to 795 of the family's 1533-position model. The record is from RNAcentral. Lineage: Bacteria; Pseudomonadati; Pseudomonadota; Alphaproteobacteria; Sphingomonadales; Sphingomonadaceae.
CCUACGGGUGGCUGCAGUGGGGAAUAUUGGACAAUGGGCGAAAGCCUGAUCCAGCAAUGCCGCGUGAGUGAUGAAGGCCUUAGGGUUGUAAAGCUCUUUUACCCGGGAAGAUAAUGACUGUACCGGGAGAAUAAGCCCCGGCUAACUCCGUGCCAGCAGCCGCGGUAAUACGGAGGGGGCUAGCGUUGUUCGGAAUUACUGGGCGUAAAGCGCACGUAGGCGGCUUUGUAAGUUAGAGGUGAAAGCCUGGAGCUCAACUCCAGAAUUGCCUUUAAGACUGCAUCGCUUGAAUCCAGGAGAGGUGAGUGGAAUUCCGAGUGUAGAGGUGAAAUUCGUAGAUAUUCGGAAGAACACCAGUGGCGAAGGCGGCUCACUGGACUGGUAUUGACGCUGAGGUGCGAAAGCGUGGGGAGCAAACAGGAUUAGAUACCCCAGUAGUC